Molecule: non-coding RNA, 1961 nt
Organism: Sus scrofa (pig)
Lineage: Eukaryota; Metazoa; Chordata; Mammalia; Artiodactyla; Suidae
Source: RefSeq, a predicted model, not a curated record
CAUGCGUAGUUUUCUUUUUUCGUUCUGUACGACCCAACUCGUCUCCCGGGGUUUCUAGGGAUGUGCGGCGUUCUCUUUGCAAGGUCAGUUUAUGCAGGUGCUCGCGAAGAGAUUACCGCAGGUUCCUCAAGCUAACUGCUAUGGAGAGCAGCACUCACAGGCUCUCUUUGUGCAAACCCUGUCUGGGACUCAGGCGUUGUGCCCACAUCCUGGACUGGAUCCACUCUUCGACUUUCUGGAGAAAGUGAAGUUCUCUUUCUAAACAAGAAUUAAAACAAAUAAGCCUACACUGUGUAAGAGAUUGUCUCUGGAAGCUAAACAGUAACAUCUACACAGAAAUGAUACUGCACAAGUAAGCAACAAUCAAGAAGAAAAGCACAGAGAUAAAAAGGAUGGCCUCUUAGAAUUACAGAUAGAAACAAGUAAAGAGCAACCAGAGAGCAAGAAGCCUUUCCAGACCCUGGCAACCACCAUUCUCCUUUCUGCUUCUAUGAGUUUGGCCCUUUCAGAUACCUCAUAUGGAGUCUCACAUGGAGUCAAGGAGUACAACAUGUUCUAAAGCAGAGGACUGCAGAGUAACAGUGACUGGAGAAUUUUAUGGGGCCUCUUCUUCUUCCAGUCCUAGCCCUUGGGAUAAGAUAACUCAGACUUCCUACUGCCUAUUCCCAGUCUAUACAACUUACAGGUCCUGAGGCUUAAACAGCAGUCACUUUUCUCUGCGGUGCUGCCGUUGGUGUGUGGUCCCUCCCCCUGUGAUCUUACUUUCAAGAGAUAAGUGAAUUAAGAUGUCAAGACAUGGGAUGUGCUUCACAGAAACUAUACCUGUGCUAGAGGGUAUCAACUCUCCACAAUUCUUGAACUGUAUAAGUCACUCUACCUUCCUAUGGGGAGAUCAUGGUCAGGGUCUACACUGGGCCUGGAGAGAUGUGCCCCCAGCCUGCCUAUGCCCUAUAAAGACAAGAGAAGCUGAGACUACGGUAUUUCCUUAAUGCUUUGAUUUAACAGUUCAAGUUCUGAAAAUCAAUCCUAAGAAAAUAACCAGGGAUGUGAUCAAGAUUUAAGCAUAAAUGUAUUUGCCUUAAUUUUACCUGUAAUAGUGAAAAAUUGAGAGGAUAAACCCUAUUUCCCACCCUAUCCCCCCCAAAAAAAACCCCACCACAAAUGUUUCUGAUCUAAAUAAUUAAUGUAGAGAUAAGGAAAAUACUAUGAGUUUUGCAUAUAUUUUUAAACUUUGCUUGCAGGUGUUUAAAAAAAUCUAAAAGAAAUAAGAUCACAUACAGUCUUUUAUAGCAGGGUGACAAAUGUCUCAUUAGGCAAAGUGCAGGUCGGCAUAAAAAUAAAUGUAAUUUAUACUUGAAUUUUUGUCUGAUCAAAUGACAUAUGUUUUAUUGUCUUAUACUUAUGAGUGAUAUUUAAUUAAAAGCUAGUUGAAUAUUCCAGAUGGCAAUUAUCUUUCAAUAGAGAUGCCAUUUCUGACACAAGGAGGCAGAUGAGCAGAAAGGAGAAUUUGUGUACUUAUUCCUUAGGAGAUGGAAAAAAAGAAACCACACCAAGCAUUGACACACAGAGAGAUUUGUGACGAUCUGCCCUAAAUGCCACUCUUUCCCUUGUUGAGCUUUGCUUACAUGUUCGUCAUUAGGUAAACCAUGUCCAAACUAAAACUGAGGUAGCCAGUAUUCAUUAGUUCACAAAUGCAAUUGUAUAGCCAUUCUUUGAAUCUGAGCCAGGGAGAGGAGUGUAAGCCUCAUUUACUUUCAUUAAUUCAGACACAGAUUAUGUGUAAUAUAGUCUAAGUAAGUGUCCUCUCACACAUGUGGUAGAAGGCAGAAAAACAAACAAAAAAAAACCUCUUAAUCAGAGGACAUUUAGGCAGAAUCUACCAGUUGAUUUUUUUUUUUGUCUUUUUGCCUUUCCUAGGGCCACACCGGCGGCAUAUGGAGGUUCCCAGGCUAGGGGUCGAA